This 29-nucleotide small RNA is filed under the name Bombyx mori (domestic silkworm). RNAcentral's name for it is "ovarian small RNA-6132". Lineage: Eukaryota; Metazoa; Arthropoda; Insecta; Lepidoptera; Bombycidae. The record is from RNAcentral.
UACGCUGUUCGCUGCGUGUACGGCGGCAA